AUGCUCAUGGCGCGCGGAAGAGAGAGCAGAUCAACCGCGGCAUCUGCCAUGCCCGCACACGCACGGCAGCUCCGCCAGCUCGCGCUCAUGCUCGUCCACUUCUCAGUGAUGCCCCAAGGAGCGCUCUCGCGGGGACUGGGGCUACCCCCGGAGGCAGAUCCAUCUCGCGGCCGGGAACACUGGGCGAACAUGAUGUGCAACAGCAUCCCCUAUCCGUUUGGCAUCAGAGGCAGUUCCAUACCAGGCUUCGAGGUAACAUGUGGGCCAAACAAGGAAGCCAUGCUGCCGAUCGGCAAGCAUAGCUAUGAAAUCCAUGAUGUGUCCCUUCAAGGAGGCUUCGUCGUCAUCUCUGCCGGACCCAUCAGCCAAGUCUGCUACGACCGCAACGGUACACGGACACAGACCACCGGAACCGGUGAUAUCAGAUUGGAGCAGACGCCCUUCUCCAAUGCCGCAGGUGGUGCCAACUUGAUGGUCUUGAAUUGGGCAGUCGGACACGGCACAUGCGACCAGGCCUUGACCUACAACUUGGCGUCGCUCCACUGCAACAAUAAGAGUGGAUGCAUUGACGCGCCCAGUGGAGCGGGCUAUCUCUGCAAGUGCAACGCAGGGUAUGACGGGAAUCCGUACGCCGAGGAUGGAUGUCUAGAUAUCAACGAAUGCCGAAAUUUCGACAGCAACGAAUGCAGCCUUUGGGACUUCUGCAACAACACCGAAGGAGGUUUUACUUGCUCGUGUCCCCAUAACUGGAACGGUGACGGUUACAGGACAGGGACAGGCUGCAACGAGACACCAAGACCCAUCAACUGGAAAAAUCAAUCUGCUGGUUUGAGUGUGUGCGCUCAACCUGAAAGGAACCCCUGCACGUACCUAGAGUACUGCAGUGAAGAUGAGCAAGGGGUAGUUGCGUGUUAUUGUCCUCUAGGCCUGCGUGGCGAUGGCAGGCAAAGAGGAAGUGGGUGUCAAAAGCACCACUAUCCAUUGGGUGUGCUUGUGCUAGCAGUUGGCGGUGGCAUAAGCCUUAUAUGUCUAGUGCCUGGUAUCAUAUUUUUCAUGCAGACGUUAAAGGCUCGACAGGCUAAGAGGCUCAGGGCGAAGUACUUCAAAGAAAAUCGGGGUUUGUUGUUACAACAACUGGUGGACAAAGACAUUGCUGAAAGGAUGAUGUUUAACUUAGAAGAACUUGAGAAGGCAACAAACAAGUUCGAUGAGGCCCGUAAACUUGGUGGUGGUGGUCAUGGUACUGUGUACAAAGGAAUACUAUCAAAUCAGGAUGUGGUUGCCAUCAAGAAAUCAAAAAUUACAAUCCAAAGAGAAAUCGAAGAUUUCAUAAACGAGGUUGCCAUCCUUUCACAAAUUAACCACCGGAACGUCGUGAGGCUAUUUGGAUGCUGCCUAGAGACACAAGUCCCAUUAUUGGUUUAUGAAUUCAUUUCAAAUGGAACUCUUUCUGAUUAUCUCCAUGUUGAAGGUGCCCUAUCCUUGCCUUGGGGGGAUCGACUGAGGAUUGCUCUUGAAACUGCAGGUGCUCUCGCAUAUUUGCACUCCUCUGCUUUGACAUCCAUAAUCCACAGAGAUAUUAAAUCUGCCAACAUUCUACUGGAUCAUCGUUUAAUUGCUAAAGUAUCAGAUUUUGGAGCUUCUCGAGGUAUCCCUAUCGAUCAAACAGGAGUUACAACUGCCAUCCAAGGUACAUUUGGGUACCUAGACCCCGAGUACUACCAAACAAGUAGGCUAACGGAUAAAAGUGAUGUUUAUAGCUUCGGUGUCAUACUUGUGGAGUUGCUCACAAGAAAGAAACCAUCCACUGGCAUGCACUCAGAAUGCGGAAGCCUUAUUGCACAAUUCAUCUUGGUGAUAAGGCAGGAUAAGCUAUGUGAGAUAUUAGAUCCUCAAGUCAUAUCGGAGUGUCUGGAGGCUGCAAAAGAUGUUGCAUCACUCGCAUUGACAUGCCUAAGCUUGAAGGGUGAGGAUAGGCCAACCAUGAGACAAGUGGAGAUGGCACUGGAAAGGUUGUUAGUAGCAAAUAAAAACACUGCACAAGGGCGUUCAGCCGAGCUAAACUACUCACCAGCUCAAAUAAGCAACAAUAAUGAUCACAAUAGCAGACAGUAUAGCGCCGAGCAGGCACUCUUACUAUCAGCAAGCUUUCCUCGCUGA
This 2160-nucleotide ribosomal RNA is filed under the name Triticum aestivum (bread wheat). Its description in RNAcentral is "partial small subunit ribosomal RNA". Lineage: Eukaryota; Viridiplantae; Streptophyta; Magnoliopsida; Poales; Poaceae. The record is from RNAcentral.